AAGGCGAUGACGGGUAGCCGGCCUGAGAGGGUGACCGGCCACACUGGGACUGAGACACGGCCCAGACUCCUACGGGAGGCAGCAGUGGGGAAUAUUGCACAAUGGGCGAAAGCCUGAUGCAGCGACGCCGCGUGAGGGAUGAAUGCCUUCGGGUUGUAAACCUCUUUCAGUAGGGACGAAGCGAAAGUGACGGUACCUGCAGAAGAAGCACCGGCUAACUACGUGCCAGCAGCCGCGGUAAUACGUAGGGUGCGAGCGUUGUCCGGAAUUAUUGGGCGUAAAGAGCUUGUAGGCGGUUUGUCGCGUCUGCUGUGAAAGACCGGGGCUUAACUCCGGUUCUGCAGUGGGUACGGGCAGGCUAGAGUAUGGUAGGGGAGACUGGAAUUCCUGGUGUAGCGGUGAAAUGCGCAGAUAUCAGGAGGAACACCGAUGGCGAAGGCAGGUCUCUGGGCCAUUACUGACGCUGAGAAGCGAAAGCAUGGGGAGCAAACAGGAUUAGAUACCCUGGUAGUCCAUGCCGUAAACGUUGGGCGCUAGGUGUGGGACUCAUUCC
This 553-nucleotide ribosomal RNA is filed under the name Dermacoccus sp. RNAcentral's name for it is "bacterial SSU rRNA". It matches the Rfam family "Bacterial small subunit ribosomal RNA", at positions 270 to 835 of the family's 1533-position model. Lineage: Bacteria; Bacillati; Actinomycetota; Actinomycetes; Micrococcales; Dermacoccaceae. The record is from RNAcentral.